GCCUGGGUGGCUCAGUCGGUUGAGCAUCUGACUUCGGCUCGGGUCAUGAUCUCGUGGUUUGUAGGUUCGAGCCCCACAUUGGGCU
Molecule: transfer RNA, 85 nt
Filed under: Felis catus (domestic cat)
Lineage: Eukaryota; Metazoa; Chordata; Mammalia; Carnivora; Felidae
Rfam family: tRNA
About the family: Transfer RNA (tRNA) molecules are approximately 80 nucleotides in length. Their secondary structure includes four short double-helical elements and three loops (D, anti-codon, and T loops).
Source: Rfam by way of RNAcentral